UCCUAGCCCUGAUUGCAAUGGCAUCCUUUUUGGGUGCGGCGAAGCGAAGCGGAGCCGUACCCAAAAAGAUAUAAUGGAAAGCAGGAAAUAGC
This 92-nucleotide small RNA is filed under the name Chryseobacterium arachidis. RNAcentral describes it as "Flavo-1 RNA". It matches the Rfam family "Flavo-1 RNA". The record is from RNAcentral. Lineage: Bacteria; Pseudomonadati; Bacteroidota; Flavobacteriia; Flavobacteriales; Weeksellaceae.